AGGAGCAGGGGGUGGUCAAGCUGACGGACUUUGGCUUCAGCAACCGCUUCCAGCCCGGCA
Chrysolophus pictus (golden pheasant) is the source of this 60-nucleotide microRNA precursor. The record is from Ensembl. Lineage: Eukaryota; Metazoa; Chordata; Aves; Galliformes; Phasianidae.